RNAcentral lists this long non-coding RNA (3433 nucleotides) under Fragaria vesca (wild strawberry). RNAcentral describes it as "long non-coding RNA (FVES_LNC001068)". Lineage: Eukaryota; Viridiplantae; Streptophyta; Magnoliopsida; Rosales; Rosaceae. The record is from RNAcentral.
AAACUUGUUAUGUCAGAUUGGUAAAGACGAGUCAAUUACCAAUUAAUCUGUAAAAACGCGAUUCAUUCAAAAUAUACGGUAGACUCCAAAAUGCGGUUAUGAAUGGAAGGAAAUAGUGUUUCGUCUCCGAUUGUUUUUGAGCUUUUGGUCGGGAAACUGCAGAGAUGUCAAAGGCUGUCAGGCAUGUGAGAAAUUGGAAUAAUAGAGCAGCAGUGGGCAGCCUACAGACAUGAAUGAGUGAUGGAGAUGAUGGAAUAUAAACCUAGCGUGCAACACAAGAGAAGGACAAAUCAUAUAUACCUCUUGUCUGCCACGUGUGCCGAUCAUAUAUAAGUUUGGCUCUAUCAUGUCCCAAACGUAAACCUACCUGAAGCCAUAGCUUUUGACAUGGAUGUCCUAUAAGUCCAAACUCUUUUUCUUUUCCACUUUUCUUUUUAUUUUCUUAUUUCAUUUUAUUUUUUGAAAGAUUUUAUUUUUAUUUUUUAUAAAGCAUCAAAUAGUACACUAGUAAGUCAUGGAUUCAAAUUUGUCGACCAUCAUAUAUUGAUGGUCAUAGACACCACUAGUACGAAACUGACAUGUGUAAGGGAAUACAUCUACAGUAAUUGCCGAGAUCUUCAAACUUCAAUUUAUCAAAUCUACUCCAUUCUCUCCUAAAUCAUCAAUUCAAUCACGAAACCAAUAGAAACCCUUCGUCCAAGCCCAGUAAUAGCCAGGCCGGGCCCUGUCCGGUCCCUAAUAUUAUGAAAAAAUUGUGGCCCGAAAGCCCGAGAGUAGUAGCUACUAGUCUGUACCAAUAAAGCCCACAUCCCCUCAUCUCAUGUCAAUCACAAUUGUCCGUUACAAUCUCAAGAAAGGAUAAGGAUCAGGUCACCAACUCACCAUCUCUCUCUCUCUCUCUCUCAGUCUAAAUCCAUUGAUCGAGGUCACUCAUCUCUCUCUCCCUCUCCCAUUCUCUAGUUCUAUGUGGAGUAGAUCGCUAAUUAGGGUCACCUAUGGCGAGUUGACUCUGGCUGAACCCAGCUCUGAGGGUCUCCACGGUCUGCAACUGCACGGUCUGCACCUCACCCAUCAUCAACAGCCACCUAGGUGUUCGAUGUUUCUUCUUCUUCUGAUAAUUUUUUCUGAAACUUUCAAUUACCGAGGCCUAGAACAAGGAGGAGGAGAGGAAAGGGGUUGGGUGUGUAUGAUAGAAAGCGAUGGCUCAUAAUGAACUUGGUCAGUGCUCGAUGUUUACAAAUUGAGCUGAGCUGCUAGUCAGUGGUGAAAGUGCAACUUGUGCUGAUCAACGGUGAGAUCAGAUAUGUUGGUGAAUUGGUAAUUGACACGGUCAACGAAAGGAAUUUGGUGGUGAUUGAAAUGGGUGGAGGUGAGAUCAGAUCUCGAACAAGGUAUUAAAGAUUUAGAGGAGACGAUCGAACAAGUGAGAUUAGAUCUCGAAAAGCAAAUUUCGUCGUCCCUUUUUGUUUGGCUUCUUGUUCGACACAUUCUCUUCCCGGUAUCGUGCAGUAGGGCUUUUACCGGUCCCGAUGAUUUUUUUUGCAAAACCCGGUCCGGGUCAACAGCCACCGGGUUGUGCCCUGUCUUUCCAAAAACAUUGCUGGUUUGGACCCGAGCCCAACCCUAAAUAAGGAAAAUAACACAAUAGAUUUUUCUUCCAAAAACUCAGUAUUUUGCAAAAUGAUUUUGAUGCAUAUAUAUAUAUAUAUAUAUAGAGAGAGAGAGAGACUCCUACCUUAACUCGGACUCCUCUACUUGAUCAACUAAAUUAGAGAUACACAAGGAAACUUAAUAAGAAAACAAGAAUGUAGUUAAAGAAAAGAUUAGUUUUACCAAAUCUAGUUUUCAUAACCAGAUAAAUCAACAAAGAGUACUUUUACCAAAUACAAUAAAGAAUUAUUUUAGACAAAUUACUAUUAAUAGUAGAAAACCUAAUUCUUUUACAACGUAUUACUAGUUAAAGGAUAUGAUAUGCAUAGAGAUGCUAGUUUACCUUAUGUGUAUUUGAGAUCGACAGUAAACUUGACAACUCUCCCUUCGUUGGUACUUUUGUUUCUCCUAGUUUGACCAAGGAAACUUCGUUGUGCUUGGAAUUCUGCAGUACUUUCUUUUCUUCGUUUUAAGGUUGUAAUUAUAGUGCCAUAUAUUNNNNNNNNNNNNNNNNNNNNAUUUUCUUACCAAAACUACAGUUAUUUUGACAAAUAGUAUUUUGUAUGCAUAUAUAUAUAUAUAUAUAUAGAGAGAGAGAGAGACUCACCCUUAAUCGGAUCCUCACUUGAUCACAAAUUGAGAUACACAAGGAAACUUAAUGAAAACAGAAUGAGUUUAGAAAAGAUAGUUUUUCCAAAUCAGUUUUCAUACCAGAUAAAUCACAAAGAGAUUUUCCAAAUCAUAAAGAAUAUUUUAGCAAAUCUAUUAAUAGUGAAACCAAUCUUUUCAACGAUUCAGUUAAGGAUAUGAUAUGCAUGAGAUGCAGUUUACCUUAUGUGAUUUGAGAUCGCAGUAAACUUGCAACUCUCCCUCUUGGACUUUGUUUCUCCUAGUUUGACCAGGAAACUCUUGUGCUUGGAAUUCUGCAGACUUCUUUUCUUCUUUUAGGUUGAAUAUAGUGCCAUAUAUUUACAUCCUAAGCUCAGCUGUCGAACGUAAUUCUCUAGGCAUCAAUGAGUGUUCUCAAAAUAGACUCGAGCCUUGUGUGGCUGGCAUCAUCGAGAAGUACGGCGAAGGAGGAAACUCUGAAACAAAGGGAUCAUCAAAAUAAAUCUAUACAAAAUCUAAUUGCUCUAGGAGGUAGAGGACGUCAAGAGGAUUAGGAAAAUAUCACAUGCAAGUUGUGUCGUCACUAGAGAUCAGAGGAUCGAUGUCGGGUAUGCAACAGGGAUCUCGAGCUUCUCCUCAAGCUCCUGCAUGUAGGUUCUAAGGGUAGGAGGACAACGUUGACUUGUUGAGUCGAACGAUGGCGGUCUGCUAGCCAAAGGCGGCCUCACAGCUACGAUGACAUCGGGUCUCGGAUCCUUGUCACCUCGUAUCUUAAGCUAAAAAUCUAAAUUUAGCUAAGGAUUGCUUCCACCACAAAAUUUCAUUCCAAGAUUUGUCUAAAAAGAUUUGGUAAGCCUUGUUUGGCUUACGGAAGUGGUAAGGUAAAGCCAAAUAUUAUUUUAAUCAGCUUUCAGAGUGGUCUUCUCAACAAUCUUUAAUCUCUCACAAUUACAUAAAUACAAAUUUGUAACUAACAAAAUUUUCUAGAGAAAUUUUAAAUACACACCCCUAAUCUCUUAAUACACACCCCUAUUGUUGUAUGUUUCUAUUGAGAUUUUAUAGGUAAGCUAAAUGACCAAAACAUACAUCUAUUAUUAAAAAAAAAAAAAUACACUCUAGAAGUAUUCUUUUCAACGUCUUCUACCCUAAAAUAGUCGAAAACACGUCUUCUCCC